This 423-nucleotide ribosomal RNA is filed under the name uncultured marine eukaryote. RNAcentral describes it as "SSU rRNA". It matches the Rfam family "Eukaryotic small subunit ribosomal RNA", at positions 631 to 1057 of the family's 1831-position model. The record is from RNAcentral.
UAGUUGGAUUUCUGGUCUGAGCGUUUAGUCCGGCGCUGUGCGUUGUGUACUUGAAUGACUUGGACCUUCCUUGUAGGGAAUAUGUGUGGUCUUAAUUGAUCGUGCAUGGGAACUGCAUCGUUUACUGUGAAAAAAUUAGAGUGUUUAAAGCAGGCAUUUGCUGUGAAUACAUUAGCAUGGAAUAAUAAGAUAGGACUUUGGUACUAUUUUGUUGGUUGGAGGCCAAGGUAAUGAUUAAUAGGGAUAGUUGGGGGUAUUCAUAUUUAAUUGUCAGAGGUGAGAUUCUUGGAUUUAUGAAAGAUGAACUUAUGCGAAAGCAUUUACCAAGGAUGUUUUCAUUAAUCAAGAACGAAAGUUAGGGGAUCGAAGAGGAUUAGAUACCCUCGUAGUCUUAACCAUAAACUAUGCCGACUCGGGAUUGGA